RNAcentral lists this ribosomal RNA (279 nucleotides) under uncultured Staphylococcus sp. Its description in RNAcentral is "partial 16S ribosomal RNA". It matches the Rfam family "Bacterial small subunit ribosomal RNA", at positions 83 to 355 of the family's 1533-position model. The record is from RNAcentral. Lineage: Bacteria; Bacillati; Bacillota; Bacilli; Caryophanales; Staphylococcaceae.
CCUUUGACGUUAGCGGCGGACGGGUGAGUAACACGUGGGUAACCUACCUAUAAGACUGGGAUAACUUCGGGAAACCGGAGCUAAUACCGGAUAAUAUUUCGAACCGCAUGGUUCGAUAGUGAAAGAUGGUUUUGCUAUCACUUAUAGAUGGACCCGCGCCGUAUUAGCUAGUUGGUAAGGUAACGGCUUACCAAGGCGACGAUACGUAGCCGACCUGAGAGGGUGAUCGGCCACACUGGAACUGAGACACGGCCCAGACUCCUACGGGAGGCAGCAGUU